GGGAAUAUCGUCCAAUGGUAAGGACUUCACACUGUUAAUGUGAGUAUCAUAGUUCGAAUCUAUGUAUUCCCG
RNAcentral lists this transfer RNA (72 nucleotides) under Clostridiales bacterium. Its description in RNAcentral is "tRNA-Asn". It matches the Rfam family "tRNA". From Rfam's summary of the family: Transfer RNA (tRNA) molecules are approximately 80 nucleotides in length. Their secondary structure includes four short double-helical elements and three loops (D, anti-codon, and T loops). The record is from RNAcentral. Lineage: Bacteria; Bacillati; Bacillota; Clostridia; Eubacteriales.